GAUUGAGUUUGAUCCUGGCUCAAGAUGAACGCUGGCGGCGUGCCUAACACAUGCAAGUCGAACGAAGCGUGCGGAUGGAAUUUCUUCGGAGAGGAAGCCUGCAUGACUGAGUGGCGGACGGGUGAGUAACGCGUGGGCAACCUGCCCUGCACAGGGGGACAACAGCCGGAAACGGCUGCUAAUACCGCAUAAGCGCACAGCUUCGCAUGGAGCGGUGUGAAAAGCUGCGGCGGUGCAGGAUGGGCCCGCGUCUGAUUAGCAGGUUGGCGGGGCAACGGCCCACCAAGGCGACGAUCAGUAGCCGGCCUGAGAGGGUGGACGGCCACAUUGGGACUGAGACACGGCCCAGACUCCUACGGGAGGCAGCAGUGGGGAAUAUUGCACAAUGGGGGAAACCCUGAUGCAGCGACGCCGCGUGAGCGAAGAAGUAUUUCGGUAUGUAAAGCUCUAUCAGCAGGGAAGAAAUUGACGGUACCUGAGUAAGAAGCUCCGGCUAAAUACGUGCCAGCAGCCGCGGUAAUACGUAUGGAGCAAGCGUUAUCCGGAUUUACUGGGUGUAAAGGGAGCGUANGCGGCCUGCCAAGUCUGAUGUGAAAUACCGGGGCUCAACCCCGGGGCUGCAUUGGAGACUGACAGGCUGGGAGUGUCGGAAAGGCANGCGGAAUUCCUAGUGUAGCGGUGAAAUGCGUAGAUAUUAGGA
RNAcentral lists this ribosomal RNA (700 nucleotides) under uncultured bacterium. RNAcentral's name for it is "bacterial SSU rRNA". It matches the Rfam family "Bacterial small subunit ribosomal RNA", at positions 1 to 702 of the family's 1533-position model. The record is from RNAcentral.